This is a long non-coding RNA of Notothenia coriiceps (black rockcod), 1852 nucleotides long. RefSeq lists it as uncharacterized. The record is from RefSeq and is a predicted model, not a curated record. Lineage: Eukaryota; Metazoa; Chordata; Actinopteri; Perciformes; Nototheniidae. The transcript has 3 exons.
AAAUGAGCAGAAGAAGGUUCCUUUAACCCCUUUAUGUGACAACAAAUUAUCAAUUUGAAAUGUAGAAUAUUUCUCUCUCUCUCUCCCAUCGGCAUUUUUGCUCCUCGAUCCCCUCCUGACUCCUUCUAACUCAAACCAUCCUUCCUUCCAUCCUUCCUUUAAUCCUUCCUCCUCUCCAGGUUUAUCAAAGCGAUCCUGAUGAGAGCAACCUUGAUAAAUGCUAACAGCCCUCUCUCCUUGCUUCCUUUCCUUGCUUCCUCCAGUCUUAGUAUGAGUCUCUGUGGUGUUUAGAGUUAUUUUUUCCUCACAUUGAAACGAAUAACUUCCUGUCUCUCUUUUAUUUCUCUGUGUCUCUGAUAGAAAAUGUGCGCUGAGCGGUCAGACCAAAACCUGUAAGCACAGAAUCAAGUUUGGAGAUUCAUCCAACUAUUACUACGUCUCUCCGUACUGUAGAUACAGAAUCACAGCAGUGUGUAACUUCUUCACCUACAUUCGCUACAUCCACCAAGGGCUGGUCAAACAGCAGGAUGCGGAGCAGAUCUUCUGGGAGGUGAUGCAGCUCCGCAGGGAGAUGUCUUUAGCAAAGCUCGGCUACUACAAAGACCAGCUGUGACUGACAGACAGCUCCAGCAUCCAAUCACAGCAGUCCGCUCCCUCAAGAAGCCCCGCCCCCUGACCCUCCUCCUUUUGUGUGAGUGUGUUUUCGUGUGAGAGAGAGAGAGACUGUCUGUUCCAUGUGAAAUUUGCUUUAUUGUAAACACUCCAAAAUAUGAAGACAUGAAGAGAGAAGUGAAAAUGUCUGAGGAGCUUUGACUAUGCUUUGUUUUCUCCCCCUCAUUUAUAAAUACCUUCAAUCAUUCAAUCAGAGUUUAACAAUAGUCAUUCAGGUUCCUCGCUGAUCCAGAACUCUUCAGUCAAAUAUUAUUUAUUGUUUUAUGUUUGAGAUCUUAAAGUAGGCUUCGCUGAAUCUUAAAAAUAUAUCAAGACGCCCCCCAACAAUGUGUUUAAGCUUUUAAUUGACGUUUGUAGUAUAUGAUGAACGCAGUCCGGGUAGUUUGAUGCAAAGAUAAUCAGAAAUCUGGUUCAAUUCAUUUCUCCAGGGACGUGGCUUACUGUACCUGCUUAGUGAGUAUUUACAGCAACAAACUCAUUCAAUUCAAAUCAUUUCAUCGUUAAAGAGCUGCAAUGCUUCGUCCACUAAACUCAAACUAUUUUGAAUAUUCAUUAAAGUUUUAAAAGCAGCCUCUCAGAUGUGAAGAGUUCCUAUUGUUUAACAUCAGAUCAAACUGAAUAUCUGCAGACGGAUAAAUCCAGACAUGUAACAACAAUGCCGUGGACUUUUCCUCUAUUUCGGACAUUUUAAAACCAAUGAAUCCAGUUAACGGAUACAUUUCGAAGUUGCAGCUUGAUUGUUAUUAUUUCUCUGGUUUUUCCCUCUCGAUGUCCGUCUUCCUCACCGUCCUGAGUUAGUUUCACUACAAGAGCACAGAGCAAACGCGUCUACUCAACAUUUUACAGUCAGAAAGAUUCUAUUUAUAAUUCCUUUAAGACUUUAUGACAGUUGUUUUGUGAUUUCCAGACGUUCAUGAAGCUAAAGAAACACUCCAUUUCCUGCUGUUAAACACUACGUACAUAAACACUACGUGCUGUUAAACACUACGUACAUAUGCUGACAUCAUUACAAAUGUGUGGGGGGGAUUCUCCUUUUACGGCUCCUGGUGUUUUGAGCCUGCUGUAUUUAAUCAAUCAGGAUGACGUGUAGAUAUUAAGCUGUGUGUGUUAGGGGAUGUGUGUGUGUGUGUGUGUUUGUACGCCUGCUGUUGUGUAAACUUUAUAAAUAUGUUAAUUUAAA